This 1818-nucleotide long non-coding RNA is filed under the name Homo sapiens (human). Its description in RNAcentral is "non-protein coding lnc-C12orf74-3:26". Lineage: Eukaryota; Metazoa; Chordata; Mammalia; Primates; Hominidae. The record is from RNAcentral.
GAGGGGCGGACGACUACUUUUGUCUUUCUUUCUUUAGACUAAAAAAGUUAUUUUCGAGACAGGAGGCGGCAGGAGAGAGGAAGAGACGAGCGAUGGCGGCCUGGUCACAUCGCUCGGACCUCCCCAGCUGCCUCCGCCUCCAGCUCCGCAGCAUUCGAAGAUCUCAAUAGCUGCAUUUCCAGCUCCGAGAGGCGAAGAGAUGCAAGCGCCGUGCAGCACCCUUUAUAGUGCCACGAAAAGGAAGUGGCGUAGCUGGAGCGUGAUGGCCGACUCCAGCCAAUCCGAAUAUCGCACCAUUGUGACGCAAGCCGGUUCGGAGCCGAAAGGGGCGGGAAAAGAGUUCAGGAGGCGGGUCCAGAGAUAGGGAAGAGAGGGAGGAGCUGACGUAAUCCGCUUGUAAACAAAUAAACCCGGAGUGGCGGCUGGAGACCCAGUUGCUUGUGUCGAGGGAGGGAGGGAGGGAACAGAGGGUGCGCGUGUGAAAGCUCCGCCCCCAGCCCUAGCUCCUCCUUCCCGCUUCAGCAGGUCCAGGCUCUGCGCCAGUGCAUCCUUCUCCAAGAGUGCGCUGCCUGGGCCCGCUUGCCCUGGAGUGUAAGUGCUGGGUAAAUAAGAACCGCCUGGCGCAGGCUGUGUCUACUCUUCACGCCGCCUUCUCAGAUCGGGCUGCAUGUCCCCACUCCGUGUUUACAUCUCGUUCCCGCUCCGGGUCUCGGUGACUGGCUCCUCAAGCCGGAGACGCGUGUGGUGCGGCGCGAUGCGGGCGCCAGCGCUGUGUGUGCUGGCGGUGCGCUGCCUUAGUGCGGGGGAAAGUGGAGGGAACGGUCCUGCGGGGCGUUCUGUCCAAGAAAAAGGACUGCAGCCUCGGGGAGCCAGGGUCCCCUCGCAGACGAGCUGCCAACGCCGCGGAGCCAUUUCUGUUCCACCCUAGGGGAGGAGUAGGGGGAUAUCUUUUAAAAGUUUAAUUGCAAAAUAAGUAGGUUAGUAAGGCCAUUUGUGGUUGCUGUUUCAGUAACUUCAGCAGUCAACGGAGAGAAGAGUGGAAACCUUACUGGAUGCGGACAGGAGAGCCAGUUACUGAAAGCAGAUAUAACGCGGAUCCUGUAAAGAGUGAAAGGAGAAGACCACUUUUAGUUGCCUCCCUGCUAGCACCCUGACUUGCUCUGCUUGAAUAAGAAUCCAAGGACACAAGCUAAGACAUUUGCACUGGGUUUAGAUCUACUGCGAUUCACAAAACACAAAAGAACUUUCAGUCAGAGGGUGACACAUAAUGAUUUUAGACAAAACUCAGUUUCUUCUGGUGGAAGCUAUUCAGAUUGUUUGGAGAGUGGGAGGAAAAAGGAGUGAAGCAUCGCUUAACAACAAAAGUAAUAAUGCAGGCAGAAUAUUAAAUGGAGAAGCCAGACUUUCAACACAUAGAAAAGAAAGCUAGUUCAGAAUGUUGAGAGACUUGGGAGCUGAUUGAUUGAAGGUGGCACUUAGAAGGUUGCCCUUUUUAAAGAUAAAGGCUGAUACUGUGACUCUGUCCCAGGGGACCUGAGUAAAGAACUCCUCAGAGAUGUGGGACCACUAUUCAGAACAAGAUUUGGAGAGCUGGGGCAGAGAAGAUUUUACCUUGGGGAUUUCUUCAGCUGCGAGUAGUAAAUUGGUUAUGCCUUAAUGAAUGAAGUUUGUCAAAUUUUAAGAUAGGAUGUUAUUACGCCUUUUAAAAGAAUGAGGUAGAGUAUAACAUCUGAUUUGGAGUUCUUUCCAGCAUUUUAAGGUCUUUAAAGAAAACAAAUUGGAGAAAAAUAAAUAAAUAUAGAUCAUGCUGUACAUAUA